This 200-nucleotide ribosomal RNA is filed under the name uncultured Glomus. Its description in RNAcentral is "partial small subunit ribosomal RNA". It matches the Rfam family "Eukaryotic small subunit ribosomal RNA", at positions 591 to 796 of the family's 1831-position model. Lineage: Eukaryota; Fungi; Glomeromycota; Glomeromycetes; Glomerales; Glomeraceae. The record is from RNAcentral.
CCAAUAGCGUAUAUUAAAGUUGUUGCAGUUAAAAAGCUCGUAGUUGAAUUUCGGGAUCAAUAUAUCGGUCGUGCCAUCGGUACGUACUGGUAUCAUUGGUUUCUCCUUUCUGACGAACCAUGAUGUCAUUAAUUUGGUGUUAUGGGAAGUUAGGACUGUUACUUUGAAAAAAUUAGAGUGUUUAAAGCAGGCUUUAGCUU